This 534-nucleotide ribosomal RNA is filed under the name uncultured Mycobacterium sp. Its description in RNAcentral is "bacterial SSU rRNA". It matches the Rfam family "Bacterial small subunit ribosomal RNA", at positions 54 to 605 of the family's 1533-position model. The record is from RNAcentral. Lineage: Bacteria; Bacillati; Actinomycetota; Actinomycetes; Mycobacteriales; Mycobacteriaceae.
CAUGCAAGUCGAACGGAAAGGCCCUUCGGGGUACUCGAGUGGCGAACGGGUGAGUAACACGUGGGUGAUCUGCCCUGCACUUUGGGAUAAGCCUGGGAAACUGGGUCUAAUACCGGAUAUGAUCAUCGGCUUCAUGGUCGGUGGUGGAAAGCUUUUGCGGUGUGGGAUGGGCCCGCGGCCUAUCAGCUUGUUGGUGGGGUAAUGGCCUACCAAGGCGACGACGGGUAGCCGGCCUGAGAGGGUGUCCGGCCACACUGGGACUGAGAUACGGCCCAGACUCCUACGGGAGGCAGCAGUGGGGAAUAUUGCACAAUGGGCGCAAGCCUGAUGCAGCGACGCCGCGUGAGGGAUGACGGCCUUCGGGUUGUAAACCUCUUUCAGUAGGGACGAAGCGCAAGUGACGGUACCUAUAGAAGAAGGACCGGCCAACUACGUGCCAGCAGCCGCGGUAAUACGUAGGGUCCGAGCGUUGUCCGGAAUUACUGGGCGUAAAGAGCUCGUAGGUGGUUUGUCGCGUUGUUCGUGAAAACUCAC